UGAUACUUUUGUGAUCUGGACCUCUCAUUCCUAGAGCCCGGGCAUCCCUGCCUCAGCCUGCUUGAAGUGACUGUCUCCUUUGAGAACACUUGAGAAAGCCCCUUGCCCGUCAGAAGCUUUUCCUGUCAACAGCUUUUCUUUCCCGGCAUGGAACUCAUCGCAGAAAACACUUCCCCAAGGGAGUUCCAGGCAGAAGGCUAUCCACCCUGUGACACGCAGAGCGUUUAGGAGAGGAGUAGAAGUCUCCUUCACAAUCCUCUGAGGUUACAGGCUGUGCUGAACAGCAAAGAAAAACACUACCUGACCCAAUGAAGGCUCUCAAUAGAUAUUUGCUGAAUAAAUAAAUAAAUGAAUGGGGGACUUCCUCGGUGGCACAGUGGUUAAGAAUCCGCCUGCCAG
Non-coding RNA from Delphinapterus leucas (beluga whale), 399 nucleotides. The record is from RefSeq and is a predicted model, not a curated record. Lineage: Eukaryota; Metazoa; Chordata; Mammalia; Artiodactyla; Monodontidae.